GAUGAAGAACGUAGCGAAAUGCGAUAAGUAAUGUGAAUUGCAGAAUUCAGUGAAUCAUCGAAUCUUUGAACGCACGUUGCGCCCGCCAGCAUUCUGGCGGGCAUGCCUGUUCGAGCGUCAUUUCAACCCUCGACUUCCCUUUGGGGAAGUCGGCGUUGGGGACCGGCCGUAUACCGCCGGCCCCGAAAUGAAGUGGCGGCCCGUCCGCGGCGACCUCUGCGUAGUAAUCCAACUCGCACCGGAACCCCGACGUGGCCACGCCGUAAAACCCCCGACUUCUGAACGUUGACCUCGGAUCAGGUAGGAAUACCCGCUGAACUUAAGCAUAUCAAUAAGCGGAGGA
RNAcentral lists this unclassified non-coding RNA (343 nucleotides) under soil metagenome. RNAcentral's name for it is "partial contains 5.8S ribosomal RNA, internal transcribed spacer 2, and large subunit ribosomal RNA". The stretch from base 1 to 120 matches the Rfam family "5.8S ribosomal RNA", at positions 35 to 154 of the family's 154-position model. The record is from RNAcentral.